RNAcentral lists this ribosomal RNA (478 nucleotides) under uncultured bacterium. Its description in RNAcentral is "partial 16S ribosomal RNA". It matches the Rfam family "Bacterial small subunit ribosomal RNA", at positions 28 to 507 of the family's 1533-position model. The record is from RNAcentral.
GAUGAACGCUGGCGGCGUGCUUAACACAUGCAAGUCGAACGGGAAACCUUUUAUUGAAGCUUCGGCAGAUUUAGCUGGUUUCUAGUGGCGGACGGGUGAGUAACGCGUGGGUAACCUGCCUUAUACAGGGGGAUAACAACCAGAAAUGGUUGCUAAUACCGCAUAAGCGCACAGGACCGCAUGGUCCGGUGUGAAAAACUCCGGUGGUAUAAGAUGGACCCGCGUUGGAUUAGCUAGUUGGCAGGGUAACGGCCUACCAAGGCGACGAUCCAGAGCCGGCCAGAGAGGGUGAACGGCCACAUUGGGACUGAGGCACGGCCCAGACUCCUACGGGAGGCAGCAGUGGGGAAUAUUGCACAAUGGAGGAAGCCCUGAUGCAGCGACGCCGCGUGAAGGAAGAAGUAUCUCGGUAUGUAAACUUCUAUCAGCAGGGAAGAUAGUGACGGUACCUGACUAAGAAGCCCCGGCUAACUACGUG